This 253-nucleotide ribosomal RNA is filed under the name uncultured bacterium. RNAcentral's name for it is "partial 16S ribosomal RNA". It matches the Rfam family "Bacterial small subunit ribosomal RNA", at positions 524 to 776 of the family's 1533-position model. The record is from RNAcentral.
UACAGAGGUCUCAAGCGUUGUUCGGAUUCAUUGGGCGUAAAGGGUGCGUAGGCGGCGCGGUAAGUUAGAGGUGAAAGCCCGGGGCUCAACUCCGGAAUUGCCUUUAAGACUGCAUCGCUAGAAUUGUGGAGAGGUAAGUGGAAUUCCGAGUGUAGAGGUGAAAUUCGUAGAUAUUCGGAAGAACACCAGUGGCGAAGGCGACUUACUGGACACAUAUUGACGCUGAGGUGCGAAAGCGUGGGGAGCAAACAGG